This 331-nucleotide ribosomal RNA is filed under the name uncultured bacterium. RNAcentral describes it as "bacterial SSU rRNA". It matches the Rfam family "Bacterial small subunit ribosomal RNA", at positions 29 to 355 of the family's 1533-position model. The record is from RNAcentral.
AUUGAACGCUGGCGGCAUGCUUUACACAUGCAAGUCGAACGGUAACAGGGAGCUUGCUCCGCUGACGAGUGGCGAACGGGUGAGUAAUGCAUCGGAACGUACCCAGUCGUGGGGGAUAACGUAGCGAAAGUUACGCUAAUACCGCAUACGUCCUGAGGGAGAAAGCGGGGGACCGUAAGGCCUCGCGCGAUUGGAGCGGCCGAUGUCGGAUUAGCUAGUUGGUAGGGUAAGGGCCUACCAAGGCGACGAUCCGUAGCGGGUCUGGAGAGGAUGAUCCGCCACACGUGGGACUGAGACGACCGGCCCAGACUCCGUACGGGAGGCAGCAGGU